Molecule: non-coding RNA, 75 nt
Organism: Heligmosomoides polygyrus
Lineage: Eukaryota; Metazoa; Nematoda; Chromadorea; Rhabditida; Heligmosomidae
Source: Rfam
GCGCCGGUGGUGUAAAGGCGUAGAGCAUUCCCGCCCGGUCAGAGGGAGGUGCGGGUUCGAGUCCCGCCUGGCGCC